ACUCCAGCCACAUCUCCAUUAGAGCUGCUCCAGAACAGCCCUGAGAUCAGACCCCUCAGGUCCCUCCAGGUGCACAGUAGGUGGGCAGGGUAUUCGGGCUGUGCUGAGGAACAUGUGUAAGACCCCUGGGGUGUCUAGCCCCUGCAGUCUAGGGUAAUCAAAGUCCAAACCUCCAGGAGUGGAACUGCAGCAGCUGUAGCUCAGUGCUGCCUGCUGGGCUGACCCUGUAAGUCAGAGGCCACAUAUAGGUCAAGGGAGGUUUGAAAACGGGAUCAUUCAGAGAUGGUAGAAUGGCUUUCCAUGAAAGAGUAACAGCACGAGCAAAGGUAUGGAGGCCACUCCAAGACAGGUAAAGAGGCUGGGGAGGAUGAGGAGGUUAAUUGGUGGGACCAUGGUUCCAUUAUUAUUUUGAGUGGGACAUAUGGACAUAGGGGACCAUGGGCACCCAGGCCUGUCCCUCCUGCCCCUCUGUCUGCCUGCCCAGUUCCGGCUGAAACGCUGUGGCCUAGGGCACCGAGUGUACCUGGUGGAGGAAUAUGGCUCAGUGCACAAGCUCAGCCUUCCCGAGAGCACGCUGCUACAGGCUGUCACCAAUACUCAGGUCAUCGAUGGAUUCUUUGUGAAGCGCACAGCAGACAUUAAGGAGUCAGCUGCCUAUCUGGCCCUCCUGACGCGGGGCCUGCAGAGAUUCUAUCAGGGCCGUGCCCUCUGCAGUCGCCCCUGGGGAACCCCAGGGGAUGCUGAAUCAGGGUCCAGGCCCUCCCCAGAUCCUGUCUGUUCACUCCUCACCUUCAAUGACUUCAACUCAGGAGCCAUCAAGAACAAGGCCCAGUCAGUGCAGGAGGUGUUUGCCAGGCAGCUGAUGCAGGUGUGUGGAGUGAGUGGGGAGAAAGCAGCAGCCCUGGUGGAUCGGUUCAGCACCCCUGCCAGCAACUCAGAAUGGGCCAGCAGUGUGCCACUGUCAAGCCUUAGAAACUCAAACACCCCAUCCCAUCCCCAGCCUACUGGCCGCCUAUGAUUCCUGUGGCACCCCCAAGGAACAGGAGAUGAUGCUGAGCACCAUCAAGUGUGGGCAGCUACAGAGGAAUCUGGGGCCUGCUUUGAGCAGGACCUUGUCCCAGCUCUACUGCAGCCCCGGCCCCCUGACCUGACCUAUGCCACGAGACAGAUCCCAGCCUCAUCUUCCCAGGUUCGCCAGCCUUUUAAUCUGAAUCUCUUGGGCUACAAUAAAAACCUAAGUGUUUGCAA
Non-coding RNA from Manis javanica (Malayan pangolin), 1248 nucleotides. The record is from RefSeq and is a predicted model, not a curated record. Lineage: Eukaryota; Metazoa; Chordata; Mammalia; Pholidota; Manidae.